This 83-nucleotide transfer RNA is filed under the name Vibrio cholerae O1 biovar El Tor. RNAcentral's name for it is "tRNA-Thr". The record is from RNAcentral. Lineage: Bacteria; Pseudomonadati; Pseudomonadota; Gammaproteobacteria; Vibrionales; Vibrionaceae.
GCCGACUUAAGUCUCAGUAGGUAACGACGCAACUGACUUGUAAUUCAGUAGGUCAACCAGUUCGAUUCCGGUAGUCGGCACCA